This 465-nucleotide ribosomal RNA is filed under the name uncultured bacterium. RNAcentral describes it as "bacterial SSU rRNA". It matches the Rfam family "Bacterial small subunit ribosomal RNA", at positions 330 to 793 of the family's 1533-position model. The record is from RNAcentral.
CUGUGACUCCUACGGGGAGCAGCAGUGAGGAAUAUUGGUCAAUGGACGCAAGUCUGAACCAGCCAUGUCGCGUGCAGGAAGACUGCCCUAUGGGUUGUAAACUGCUUUAUACGGGAAGAAAUAUAGCUACGUGUAGUUAUUUGCCGGUACCGUAUGAAUAAGCAUCGGCUAACUCCGUGCCAGCAGCCGCGGUAAUACGGAGGAUGCGAGCGUUAUCCGGAUUCAUUGGGUUUAAAGGGUGCGUAGGCGGAAGUAUAAGUCAGGGGUGAAAGUUUGUGGCUCAACCAUAAAAUUGCCUUUGAUACUGUAUUUCUUGAGUACAUUUGAGGUAGGCGGAAUGUGUUGUGUAGCGGUGAAAUGCUUAGAUAUAACACAGAACACCGAUUGCGAAGGCAGCUUACUAAACUGUAACUGACGCUGAUGCACGAAAGCGUGGGGAUCGAACAGGAUUAGAUACCCUGGUAG